This 899-nucleotide ribosomal RNA is filed under the name uncultured archaeon. Its description in RNAcentral is "bacterial SSU rRNA". It matches the Rfam family "Archaeal small subunit ribosomal RNA", at positions 23 to 922 of the family's 1478-position model. The record is from RNAcentral.
GUCACUGCUAUCAGUGUUCGACUAAGCCAUGCAAGUCAAAUGUUCUUCGUGAACAUGGCGGACUGCUCAGUAACACGUGGAUAACCUGCCCUUAGGAUUGGCAUAACACCGGGAAACUGGUGAUAAUACCGAAUAGACCAUUUAUGCUGGAAUGCUUUUUGGUUCGAAGGCUUCGGCUGCCUAAGGAUGGAUCUGCGGCCUAUCAGGUAGUAGUGGGUGUAAUGUACCUACUAGCCUACGACGGGUACGGGUUGUGAGAGCAAGAGCCCGGAGAUGGAUUCUGAGACAUGAAUCCAGGCCCUACGGGGCGCAGCAGGCGCGAAAACUUUACAAUGCGGGAAACCGCGAUAAGGGGACACUGAGUGCCAGCAUAUUAUGUUGGCUGUCCACAUGUAUAAAAACCAUGUGUUAGCAAGGGCCGGGCAAGACCGGUGCCAGCCGCCGCGGUAACACCGGCGGCCCGAGUGGUGAUCACUUUUAUUGGGUCUAAAGGGUCCGUAGCCGGUUUGAUCAGUCCUCCGGGAAAUCUGACAGCUCAACUGUUAGGCUUCCGGGGGAUACUGUCAGACUUGGGACCGGGAGAGGUAAGAGGUACUACAGGGGUAGGAGUGAAAUCUUGUAAUCCCUGUGGGACCACCAGUGGCGAAGGCGUCUUACCAGAACGGGUCCGACGGUGAGGGACGAAAGCUGGGGGCACGAACCGGAUUAGAUACCCGGGUAGUCCCAGCCGUAAACGAUGCUCGCUAGGUGUCAGGGACGGUGCGACCGUUUCUGGUGCCGCAGGGAAGCCGUGAAGCGAGCCACCUGGGAAGUGCGGCCGCAAGGCUGAAACUUAAAGGAAUUGGCGGGGGAGCACUACAACGGGUGGAGCCUGCGGUUUAAUUGGAGUCAACGCCGGA